Long non-coding RNA from Ahaetulla prasina, 7448 nucleotides. RefSeq lists it as uncharacterized. The transcript is spliced from 3 exons. NCBI's taxonomy places the organism in Eukaryota, Metazoa, Chordata, Lepidosauria, Squamata, Colubridae. The record is from RefSeq and is a predicted model, not a curated record.
UUAUAAAGGAUGGAAGGCUGAGUCAACCUUGGGCCUGGUGGGACUUGAACCUGCAGUAAUUUUUAAUCUGCAAAAGGGUGUUUCUCCCAUUUCCUCAUUCUUUUAACAACACCGUAUUCAUUUUUACUGGCCUAUGACUUUAAUAAACCGUUGUUUGGUUUGAUUAGAUCCGUAAAGAUUUUUCAGGCAACGUUUCCUAAUCGCUUCCCUGCAUGCCAAGGUGAGGAGAAAGGCGUCGUGGGUACUCGAGCAGGGCUUUUCUUUCGCAGCUAAAGGAGCACUUAAGUUUGUGAAAUUCCUUCCUAAAAUUUUUGAGGGGAAUCUAACCCGAAGUGAAUUUCACAUAAUUCUACCACCGGUUCGCCGUGAACCGGCUGAAUGCCGCCACUGAAUCUAACAGAGAGGAGAAAGAUUGAACAGCCGAAUUUUAAGAACCGAGGAUCUUGGUAUAUUCCCUGCUUUGCCCAAACAAAAGCUAAUUUUUAAAACACACACACACACACACCUAUCUAUACACAUCCAAGGUGUUCUUGUGUUAUAAAACCAAGGUUGACUUAGCUUUAACCUGAUUUCGAGGAUAUUUCUCAUCGCUUUUGGACUCCAUAAACUUUGAAAGUAUUUAUGAUGGGCCGUAAUUUCGUACGUUUCCUUCAAAAACAAAAUAAAAAUAAAAAUAAAUCAAGCCCAAAUCCUAUCCUGCCUUGGCUAAACGAGAUCAUGGCCAUUCUGCAAAAAUGCCCACAACACACUUCAGGCCUCUGGUGGCUCAGACUGUUAAGACAGUCUGUUAUUAACAGCAGCUGCUUGCAAUUACUGCAGGUUCAAGCCCCACCAGGCCCAAGGUUGACUCAGCCUUCCAUCCUUUAUAAGGUAGGUAAAAUGAGGACCCAGAUUGUUGGGGGCAAUAAAGUUGACUUUGUAUAUAAUAUACAAAUGGAUGAAGACUAUUGCUUAACAUAGUGUAAGCCGCCCUGAGUCUUCGGAGAAGGGCGGGAUAUAAAUGCAAAUUUAAAAAAAAUGGGUUUUUUCCUUUUUAGACUGUCGGACCAAAUGUACCAGAUUGGUACGUUGCAAGAAGGGGUGGGUUUAUUUUAACUGUGGUUAAAUACGUCAAUUAACUGAGUUCAAGCCACACACGCCCUCAUAAACCAGGGUAUAAAAACCACAGAUUCAUGCCAAACUCUUGGCCAUAAACGAUGACUGGAAUGUGUUGGGUGAAGCCAAUGUUGGCAAUUCUCUAUUUUAUAUUAUAUCCAAUUUAUACAGGGCACUAGGUGGCUCAGUGGGUAAGGCGCUGAGCUUGUGGAUUGAAAGGUCGGCAGUUUAGUGGUUCGAAUCCCUAGCGCCGUGUAACGGAGUGAGCUCCCGUGACUUGUCCCAGCUUCUGCCAACCAAGCAGUUCGAAAGCACGUAAAAAUGCAAGUAGAAAAAUAGGGACCACCUUUGGUGGGAAGGGAACAGCGUUCCGUGUGCCUUUGGCGUUGAGUCACGCCGGCCACAUGACCACGGAGACGUCUUCGGACAGCGCUGGCUCUUCGGCUUUGAAACGGAGAUGAGCACCGCCCCCUAGAGUCAGGAACGACAGCACAUAUGUGUGAGGGGAACCUUGACCUUUUAUCUUUAGAGGGCACCAGAGAGAUUGUAGGCUCAUAUCAUUCGUAAUUCCAACAUAAACCAACACUGAUUUUUCUCUGCUUAGACCCACAACUUUAGAGGGGCUGCUUUUCUGACUACCUGAAGAGAAUGUUUGCACAGUGUGGUUAAUCAGCUAGGAAAGAUUUGGGAGAUUCCAGCUGAUAACGCGUUAACCUCAUUAGUUUUUAUCUGGGUUUUGUGUGUGGUUUAGACGUGUAUGCUAAUCCAGCCUUUUUUAAUUAGAUUGUGAUUCAUUGCAUUUUGGAAUUCCAGAAAGUGGGUUAACUCAUCCGUUUGGAUUAAACCUGGAGGCUCCUUGGAGCAACUAUGACAUAGAAAAUGCUGGAUUUUUUUUUUUUAAGGGAGUCUUAGUUAUAAGCUUUCUGUUUUUGUUGUGGGUUUUUUUUUUCGUAUGCAAAUCAGGACUGCAAUUAUUUGAAUUUCUUUUUAUAUAUUUUUUUUUCUUGCUGUUCCUUGUUUAAUAUAAUAUAACAACAGAGUUGGAAGGGACCUUGGAGGCCUUCUAGUCCAUCCCCCUGCCCAGGCAGGAAACCCUACACCAUCUCUGUCAGAUUACAUUGCACCUCCUGGGCCUGAUGGGGUUCACGUGCCCCUUGUGAUAUUUUGAAAAUAAAAUACUGUAUUAAUUUGAAAGUUUUGUUUGCUGGAAGGUCUUCGUUUUCAGUGACAGGUCGAGUGAUGUUAUACCCACACGCUUGCAAACUUCUGAAGUUCUUGGUGUGUGUGUGUCAGUGGUGAAAUUCAAUAUUUUUUUACUACCGGUUCUGUGGGCGUGGCUUGGUGGGUGUGGCUUAGUGUGGCUUGGUGGGUGUGGCUUAGUGGGCAUCGCAGGGGAAGGAUACUGCCUCCCCACUCCAGGGGGAAGGAUACUGCAAAAUCCCAUUCCCUCCCCACUCCAGGGUAAGGAUACUGCAAAAUCCCCAUUCUCUCCCCAUUUCAGGGGGAAGGAUACUUCAAAAUCCGCAUUCCCUCCCCACUCCAGGGGGAAGAAUACUGCAAAAUCCCCAUUCCCUCCCCACUCCAGGGUAAGGAUACUGCAAAAUCCCCAUUCCCUCCCCACUCCAGGGUAAGGAUACUGCAAAAUCCCCAUUCCCUCCCCAUUUCAGGGGGAAAGAUACUGCAAAAUCCGCAUUCCCUCCCCACUCCAGGGGGAAGGAUACUGCAAAAUCCCCAUUCCCUCCCCACUCCAGGGGGAAGGAUACUGCAAAAUCCCCAUUCCCUCCCCAGUCCAGGGGGAAGGAUAUUGCAAAAAUCCCCAUUCCCUCCCCAGUCCAGGGGGAAGAAUAUUGCAAAAAUCUCCAUUCCCACCCCACUCUGGGGCCAGCCAGAAGUGGUAUUUGCUAGUUCUCUGAACUACUCAAACUUUCCGCUACCUGUUCUCCAGAACCUGCUGAAUAGCACCCCUGGAAUAAAUGCAAGGACUUGGGGAUCGUUUAACUAGCUGGACCACCUAAUCCACUAAACAAGAAGGGCUAAACAUACAACAAUCACAUUAGAUACAUUUUCAGAAAUGAUGUGCUUUGGCUGUAGCUUGUUUUAACAGCCCAAGAUUAAGCUAGCUUCCUCUGAAACACAGAGGAACAAGCUCCCAUCAUCCUUAUCCAGCUGGGCCAUUAAUGGGAGUUGCAGUCCAGUCAGUGGUGGGAUUCAGCCGGUUCACAUCUAUUCAGGAAAACCGGUUGUUAACCUUCUAAGCAGUUCGGAGAACCGGUUGUUGGAAGAAAUCUUAUUUUGGUUUCCCCCCCCCCCAACUUUACAGGGCUAAUCCUGUAAGGAAGGAAACAUUCUGAUGGUGUUUCUAGCCUAAUCUUUAUUGCCCUGCUUGCAGAAACUGCCUCUCUGGUUAACCCCCGUUACAUUGUAACAGCUAAGGCGAAGCGCCCAUCGAUGUGACUGACGUUGAGUUGGCCACGCCCACACGGUCACAUGACCACCGAGCCACACCUACCCAGCUGAUCAUCGGGGCAGAGAACCAGCUGUUAAAUUACUUGAAUCCCACCACUGAGUCCAGUAACAUGUGAAGGGGGGCCCCAGAUAAAGGAAGCACGUUGUCAAAAAUGUGAAUAAUGACAAUAAUGAAAAUGGCAGCGAACACAAUAAUAAACACCCCCCCCCCCAAAAAAAGAUGGGCUGGAACUGGACUCCGGUGGUUUCCUGUGGCCCCAGCUGACAAAACAAAGAUUAUCCCUCUACUUGUUUGGCAUCAUCUUCUGGCUAACAUUCCCUUUUUCUCUUUUUCUUCAGAACAUAUUCCAGCUCCCAUUAAUAAAUUUAGCUAUCCGAAAAUCAUUAUCCAAGCAGGCGGGAACGGUCUCCCAGGAAGGGCCCUCUAGGGAGUUGGGAGGCGUUGCAAGCAAAGCCCGAACACUUUGCAAACGUCCAAAAUCAAAGGCAGAAUUUUAAACAGAUAAAAAGUUGCACAUCGCGAGAAAACGGUGCCUCCGUUUGAACCCAGCGCCAAUAUUUUCUCCAAAGACGUGAGGCUUGAUUUAAACAAGAAAACUGCACUGGGGGGGGGAAAUAAUAAUCUUGUUUUAAUUGUUUAGUCAUCUGGGAUAGCUUUGCAAGGGUAUUGACAAAUUGGCUGGCUUGAUGGCUGACAGAUAUCCCCAAACUGUUUUAAGGGCCUCUGUGGCUCAAACUGGUAAGACAGUCUGUUAUUAACAGCAGCUGCUUGCAAUUACUGCAGGUUCAAGCCCCACCAGGCCCAAGGUUGACUCAGCCUUCCAUCCUUUAUAAGGUAGGUAAAAUGAGGACCCAGAUUGUUGGGGGCAAUAAGUUGACUUUGUAGAUAAUAUACAAAUGGAUGAAGACUAUUGCUUAACACAGUGUAAGCCGCCCUGAGUCUUCGGAGAAGGGCGGGAUAUAAAUGCAAAUAAAAUAAAAAAAGGGCUCUGUAGAGUGUAAACACCUGAGAGCAUGGGGGCGGGGGAAUGGCCUCUGUGUUACUUUUAUCACAGAACUGCAAAUAAACCGAUAAUUUGCACAGAGAAAUGGGAAUUUUUUUCUUCGGGCACCCAAAGCAGAAGAUGCAGCUGUGUAGGCAACAUACUUUAGACUAACAUAACAUAACAUAACAUCAGAGUUGGAAGGGACCUUGGAGGCCUUCUAGUCCAACCCCCUGCCCAGGCAGGAAACCCUACACCAUCUCAGUCAGAUGGUUAUCCAACAUUUUCUUAAAAAUUUCCAGUGUUGGAGCAUUCACAACUUCUGAAGGCAAGUCGUUCCACUUAUUAAUUGUUCUAACUGUCAGGAAACUUCCCUCCAUUCCCUCUCUCCACUAGACCUGAUGGAAACUGCUGUCCCAAAUAGAAUAGAGUUGGAAGGGACCUUAGAGGUCUUCUAGUCCAACCCCCUGCAGGAAAUCCUACACCACUUCAGACAAAUGGUUAUCCAACCUCUUCUGAAAAACCUCCAGUUUUGGAGCUUUCACAACAUCUGGAGGCAAGUUAUUCCACUGAUUCAACUGUCAGGAAAUUUCUCCUUAGUUCUAAGUUGCUUCUCUCCUUGGUUAGUUUCCACCCAUUGCUUCUUGUUCUGCCCUCAGGUGCUUUGGAGAAUAUCUUGACUCGCUCUUCAUUGGGGCAGCCCCUGAGAUAUUGGAAGACUGCUAUCCUGUCUCCCCUAGUCCUUCUUUUCAUUAAACUAGACAUACCCAGUUCCUGCAACUGUUCUUCAUAUGUUUUAGCCUCCAGUCCCCUAAUCCUCUUUGUUGUUCUUCUCUGCACUUUUUCUAGAGUCUCCACAUCUUUUUUACAUCGUGGCGACCAAAACUGGAUGCAGGAUUCCAAGUGUGGCCUUACCAAGGCAUUAUAAAGUGGUCUUAACACUUGACGUGAUCUGGAUUCUAUCCCUCUGUUUAUGCAGCCCAGAACUGUGUUGGCUUUUUUGGCAGCUGCUGCACACUGCUGGCUCAUAUCUAAAUGGUUAUCCACUAGGACUCCAAGAUCCCUCUCACAGGUCUUGUCAGAGUCGGCGGAAUUCUAAGUUUUCUAAUCCCAGGAUUACCUUUGGUGGGAAGGUAACAGUGUUCCGUGCAUCUUUGGCGUUGAGUCAUGCCGGCCACAUGAUCCCGGAGACGUCUUUGGACAGCACUGGCUCUUCGGCUUUGAAACGGAGAUGAGCACCGCCCCCUAGAGUCGGGAACGACUAGCACAGAUGUGCAAGGGGACCCUUUACCUUUAUGAGUCAGCUGGCCACUGAUCCAUGUUGCAUGGUUUCACAUCCUGUGCUUAACCACGGCUUGUUCUGCUCCUAAUCUACUGCGCAGGCCGUAGUGGCUUGAUUCACACAAUCCACUAAGUUCUUAACCGCGACUUACAGAUCUUAAAGGUGGUUAUCUCGAGCAUGCCGAGCCCAGGAACCACAGAACCAUCGGCAACAUCAGUUCUGGCUGCCUGUUAAAUUCCUUAUGAAUGGUGGAUGGUGUGUUGAAUCGCCUGCAGAUCCAAGAAUAACAGGCUGGGGGAAAUCUGGAGAGUCGCAGAAGUCCUAUCAAUUAUUUAGGCAGGAGGGGUGGAAAUUAAGGCCAGAUGUCUGAAAAACAACGAUUGCAUGCCGCUACAAGAAAUCCUCAAAAGAAGAUUUGAAGGUUUAUAUUUAUCUCUGGUGCUGGAGAAGACUCCUGCGAGUCCCUUGGACUGCAAGGCCAUCCAACCGGUUGGUCUUAGAGGAGAUCAACCCUGACUACUCUUUAGAAGGCCAGAUCCUGAAGGUGAAACUCAAAUCCUUUGGCUGCCUAAUGAGAAGGAAGGACUCACAGGAGAAGAGCCGAAUGCUGGGAACGAUGGAGGGCAAAAGAAGAAGGGGACGACAGAGAAGGAGGUGGCUGGAUGGAGUCCCUGAAGCAGUCGGUGUGAGCUUAAAUGGACUCCAGAGGAUGGUAGAGGACAGGAAGGCCUGGAGGAACAUUGUCCAUGGGGUCGCGAUGGGUCGGACGCAGCUCAAAUGGACAGAGCACUACAUGGAAAAGGCCAGAACUGGGAAAGGAACAACUUUAUGCUGGAAGAGUGAAUGGGUGCUUCCACGUUUUAACCAUCGGUGUUAUCCCCAUCAAGGAAGCUUACUCUGCACUUACGUCCUUGUCCUGUCAGGAGCCCUCAAAUUUGAUAUCACGUGCAAAAAACACAGCUUGUGUUGUGGCAUAGGACCGGGAUAUCUUUGGGACCGCCUUCUGUUACCACAUGCCUCCCACCGGCCGGUACGCUCCCAUAGAGAGGGCCUCCUCAGGGUGCCGUCAGCCAAACAGUGUAGGCUGGCGACCCCCAGGGGGAGAGCCUUUUCUGUGGGGGCACCUACCCUCUGGAAUGAGCUUCCCCCAGGACUUCGACAACUUCCUGACCUCCGGACCUUUCGCCGCGAGCUUAAAACAUAUCUAUUCUUCCGAGCAGGACUGGCUUAAUAGGGUUUUUAAACAUGGAUUUUAUUGGGGUUUAUUUUAUAUUUUGUAUUGUAUUUUAAAUUUAGGCUUUUGGAAUAAGUUUUUUAAAUAGUGUUUUUAUUGAAAUGUAUUGUAUUAUUUUAUCUGCCUGUUCACCGCCCUGAGUCCUUCGGGAGAAGGGCGGUAUAAAAAUUAAAUUAUUAUUUUUAUUAUUAUUAUUAUUGUAUCAUUAAGUGUUAAAUUGUACCCUAUGACCAUCAUUUGUGUUGUAAAUGUUGUACCUUGAUGAAGGUAUCUUUUCUUUUUAUGUACACUAAGAGCAUAUACACCAAGACAAAUUCCUUGUAUGUCCAAUCACACUUGGCCAAUAAAAUUCAAUUCAAUUCAAUUCAAUUCUAUUCUAUUCUAUUCU